AUUGAACGCUGGCGGCAUGCCUUACACAUGCAAGUCGAACGGUAACAGGUUAAGCUGACGAGUGGCGAACGGGUGAGUAAUGUAUCGGAACGUGCCCAGUCGUGGGGGAUAACUGCUCGAAAGAGCAGCUAAUACCGCAUACGACCUGAGGGUGAAAGCGGGGGAUCGCAAGACCUCGCGCGAUUGGAGCGGUCGAUAUCAGAUUAGGUAGUUGGUGAGGUAAAGGCUCACCAAGCCGACGAUCUGUAGCUGGUCUGAGAGGACGACCAGCCACACUGGGACUGAGACACGGCCCAGACUCCUACGGGAGGCAGCAGUGGGGAAUUUUGGACAAUGGGCGCAAGCCUGAUCCAGCCAUGCCGCGUGCGGGAAGAAGGCCUUCGGGUUGUAAACCGCUUUUGUCAGGGAAGAAAAGGUUCUGGCUAAUACCUGGGACUCAUGACGGUACCUGAAGAAUAAGCACCGGCUAACUACGUG
RNAcentral lists this ribosomal RNA (477 nucleotides) under uncultured bacterium. RNAcentral describes it as "partial 16S ribosomal RNA". It matches the Rfam family "Bacterial small subunit ribosomal RNA", at positions 30 to 507 of the family's 1533-position model. The record is from RNAcentral.